Molecule: ribosomal RNA, 545 nt
Filed under: Hylomyscus sp. 2 VN-2012
Lineage: Eukaryota; Metazoa; Chordata; Mammalia; Rodentia; Muridae
Description: partial 16S ribosomal RNA
Rfam family: Bacterial large subunit ribosomal RNA
Source: RNAcentral
CACCUCUAGCAUUUUAAGUAUUAGAGGCAUUGCCUGCCCAGUGACUAUAGUUAAACGGCCGCGGUAUCCUGACCGUGCAAAGGUAGCAUAAUCAUUUGUUCCUUAAUUAGGGACUAGUAUGAACGGCUAGACGAGGGUUCAACUGUCUCUUAUUUUCAAUCAGUGAAAUUGACCUUCCAGUGAAGAGGCUGGAAUAUAAAAAUAAGACGAGAAGACCCUAUGGAGCUUAAAUUAAUAAACUUAAUUUUUACCCUAAUCUCCUAAUGGAAUAAAACAAAAAAUAUAAGCUUAAAAUUUUGGUUGGGGUGACCUCGGAGAACAAAAAAUCCUCCGAAAGAUAUAUUACAUAGACUUACAAGUCAAAGUAACCCAGUUAUCCAAUUGACCCAAAAAUUGAUCAACGGACCAAGUUACCCUAGGGAUAACAGCGCAAUCCUAUUUAAGAGUCCAUAUCGACAAUAGGGUUUACGACCUCGAUGUUGGAUCAGGACAUCCCAAUGGUGCAGAAGCUAUUAAUGGUUCGUUUGUUCAACGAUUAAAGUCCU